This 619-nucleotide long non-coding RNA is filed under the name Heterocephalus glaber (naked mole-rat). RNAcentral describes it as "lncRNA (ENSHGLG00000040260.1)". The record is from RNAcentral. Lineage: Eukaryota; Metazoa; Chordata; Mammalia; Rodentia; Bathyergidae.
CUUCCCUAUUUGCAAAGACCUUAUUUCCAUUUUUCUCCUCUUCUCAUAUUUUUUCCUUUCUCUUUUUUCCCUUCCCCUACCCCUCCUAAUUCCCCUGCUAUUUUAGACCUUUUCGGCACGCCCUACUGAGGUCUCUAGUGGCACGGAACAUGCCGAAUCAGCCCGCUGCAGACAGGCAGGCACCUGGUUCCACACUACAAAGACGCAGAGGACACCAAAUCACCAGACCAAGAGGCUGAAUACUCCUACAAUGGGUGUCUGAGGGCUUAAAACCGAGGAGAUCAUUGACUGCUCAGAUGAAGAAGCUAGAAGCAUCAGAACAAAAGGAACCAAUAAUUCAACUAGAGCCCAAGGGAGAAGGCUUUCCUGCUCAUAUGGAGCCUCUGACACAGCUGAUGAGGCAGGGCCCCAGCAAGAGGAGAACAGAAGACAAGACGGUGUGGUGGAGCAAGGCCUGGCUGAGAAGAGGAUUGUCUUCUUCCCUGCUCAUUUGCCAGAAAACCAUCAAGCGUGGUGUCCUGCAGACCUUAGCUACUCUCCUGGCUCCAGUUACAGACCACCCCCUUUUACCUCCCCCUGCACUUCCCUUAUCUCUACUAUAAAUAAAUGAGCAGUGGCC